This 1039-nucleotide long non-coding RNA is filed under the name Homo sapiens (human). Its description in RNAcentral is "HSALNT0009755". Lineage: Eukaryota; Metazoa; Chordata; Mammalia; Primates; Hominidae. The record is from RNAcentral.
GCGGGGAUAGGGGGAUCUGAGGCCCUCCCUGCCCGCCCGCUCGGCCGCCCGCGUGCCCCGCCCCUCGGCCCCGGCAGAGGGCGCUAUGGAGCCGGGCGCUGGUGAGUUCUAGCCCUUCGCCAGGAACGGCGAUUCUCAGCGUCCUCUCCGGUGGAGGACAGAAGGCAUCCCAGGGUCGCGGGAGAGCCAGCGCAAAGUGGAAGGCACCUUGUACGCUGUGAAGCGGAGAUGCAGAUGUUACCCUAACCAGAAGCCCACCCCGCCACAAAUACUGGAGCGCCCAGCAUGCGUGCGCCACCCGCUUCCCUGCAGAGGGCGCCGCGGGCCCGCCUCGCCGAGCGCGGGGUGAGAUCCCAGUAGCCCAGAGCAGCCCGCGGGGCAGGCCCGGGCUGCCGCGGACUCCUCUUGCAGAAAAGCCUUUGAUGCUGUAUUCUUAGCACAUGGAACCCUAAACCAAAGCCUGCACUGGGGCAUUUGUGAGAAGCGUGUGUGCAAAGCCUGAGAGACUCCCCUUUUGGGCAUGCUGCUGGGCAGGGGUGUUCUGGUUUGACUUUGUACAUGUCAGGCCAUCUCAAACUUGUGGCUGCAGCUGUCACUUAGAGUCGCACACCUCCUGAAUUGGUACCUCCAGCCCUGACUUCUCUUCAGUGCUCCAGACACAUGUAUUUCUCUGCUCGCCAAACAUCUUCCACACAACAAGCACUUUAAACUGAAAAUAUUCCAAAUCAAACUAAUCACAUUCUGCUUGCUAUCAGCAGCCUUCUUCACUCUCUGAUUCCUUUAUUUUGGUUAGUAGCAGUGUCAUUUACCAAACUGCUCCAGCCAAAAACCCUGGUGUCAGCCUAAACUCCACACUCUUCUUUCACCUCCAUUGUCUAAUAGUCACCAAAGUCUGUCCCCUCCUACCCUAGCAUAUCUCACCCUUCCAUUCUCUUGUUUCCAUCCCAUUGUCACUGCCCUAUUUCAGGCUCUCAUCACUUCUCACCUGGACUAGGGCAACUGCUUUCUUGUUUCCAUUAAAAAUUUUUAUUUAUAAUUG